GACGAACGCUGGCGGCGUGCUUAACACAUGCAAGUCGAACGGAAAGGCCCUGCUUUUGUGGGGUGCUCGAGUGGCGAACGGGUGAGUAACACGUGAGUAACCUGCCCUUGACUUUGGGAUAACUUCAGGAAACUGGGGCUAAUACCGGAUAGGAGCUCCUGCUGCAUGGUGGGGGUUGGAAAGUUUCGGCGGUUGGGGAUGGACUCGCGGCUUAUCAGCUUGUUGGUGGGGUAGUGGCUUACCAAGGCUUUGACGGGUAGCCGGCCUGGGAGGGUGACCGGCCACAUUGGGCCUGAGAUACGGCCCAGACUCCUACGGGAGGCAGCAGUGGGGAAUAUUGCACAAUGGGCGGAAGCCUGAUGCAGCAACGCCGCGUGCGGGAUGACGGCCUUCGGGUUGUAAACCGCUUUCGCCUGUGACGAAGCGUGAGUGACGGUAAUGGGUAAAGAAGCACCGGCUAACUACGU
Molecule: ribosomal RNA, 467 nt
Filed under: uncultured bacterium
Lineage: Bacteria
Description: partial 16S ribosomal RNA
Rfam family: Bacterial small subunit ribosomal RNA
Source: RNAcentral